This 1166-nucleotide long non-coding RNA is filed under the name Sinocyclocheilus grahami. RNAcentral's name for it is "lncRNA (ENSSGRG00000053574.1)". Lineage: Eukaryota; Metazoa; Chordata; Actinopteri; Cypriniformes; Cyprinidae. The record is from RNAcentral.
AGAGUGGCCGAAAUGGAUCAGACGUUUCCAGAGAUACCGUGUCGCGUCGGGACUGAACAAAAGAGAUGACGAAUUCCAGGUCAAUACUCUUAUUUACUUUAUGGGUGAUGAAGCGGAGGAUAUUUUGAAUGCUUCCACUUUAACGGCAGAUGAAAAGCUCAGCUACACUGCAGUUGAAAACUGUUUCAAUAACCAUUUUGUGGGAAAGCAUAACGUCAUUUUUGAGAGAGCCAAGUUUAAUAUGCGCAAACAAGAACCCGGCGAGUCAGCUGAUAGCUUUAUAACGGCCGUCCAUAAGCUUGCAGAACAUUGUAAUUUUGGACCUUUAAAAGACGAAUUAAUACGUGAUCGCAUUGUCGUGGGAAUAAGAGACAGGUCUCUUUCAGAAAAACUCCAGCUGGACUCAGACUUGACGUUAAGCAGAGCUGUCGGUAAGGUGAAACAGAACGAGAUGGUAAAACAGCAGCAGGCUAUUAUGCGGGGCAGUUCUUCACAGACUGAUGAGCAAAGUGAAGUGGAUGCAGUUUCAGGACCAGUAAAAAGAAAACAGACAACGUAUAACAGCAAACAACAAGCAGGAUAUGAGACGAAACAGACAGAGAAUGUACCAAACAUGAGUAAAUGUUCAAGAUGUGGCAGAAUCCCCUCUCAUGGUUGGAAAGAAUGUCCAGCUAAGGAUGCUGAAUGCCGUAACUGCCACAGAAGGGGGCAUUUUGCAGUAGUUUGUCGUUCCAGGCAACAGGUGCAGGAAGUGUUCGAACAGCAAGAUAUACAGGAGGACUCCCUUUAUUUAGGUGAAGUAAAAGACCACAACACAGGAUGGUAUACAGACAUAACUCUAAAUGUGGAAAACAUUUCAUUCAAAAUUGAUACCGGCGCUGCGGUCACAGCCAUCCCCACAAAACUAUAUGACUACAGGAGGGACGGACCUUUGAUGGAAUCAAAGAAAAAACUGUGCGGGCCCAAUAAUAAACGGCUACUAGUGGAAGGACAGGUAAUGUGCAAAUUGGAAAGCAAAGACAUCUCGACCUCUCAAACUGUUUUUGUAAUUGAUUCACUUUCCAGACCCCUAUUGGGCCUGCCAGCUACUGAGGCAUUACAGCUUGUUGAACGGAUUGAUGCAGUCGAAUUAACUGAAGAAAAGUUCAAAAAGAAAUUUCCAAAAG